UUUCAUUCUUAUCUAUAUUUAAUAGGAAUAAUAGAUUGAAACGUCAUACAAUGGCGAGGCUCAUGAAAUCACAUGUGAGGGUCUUCUGCAUAAGCUUUAUAUUUUUAUUUGUGUGUUAUUGCUGUGAAAGAAAUGAACACCGUCAUACGCAAGCAUUUGGAGUUCCACAACCAAAAGACUGUACUCCACGUUGUAAAUUAAUUUUAAGUGAUUGGUAUUGUUGCGAUAAAUACUUUGGUGAGAGUAAAGAUUUGUGCGAAAGAAACUGUAAGGUAAUAAAAAGUUGUUGUAAGGUAAAAAAAUAAAAAUAAUUGAUCUUGUUAAGGAUUAUUUAUAUUAUAUAAUAAAAAUUAAAUA
Molecule: long non-coding RNA, 357 nt
Organism: Helianthus annuus (common sunflower)
Lineage: Eukaryota; Viridiplantae; Streptophyta; Magnoliopsida; Asterales; Asteraceae
Exons: 2
Source: RefSeq, a predicted model, not a curated record